RNAcentral lists this unclassified non-coding RNA (345 nucleotides) under soil metagenome. RNAcentral describes it as "partial contains 5.8S ribosomal RNA, internal transcribed spacer 2, and large subunit ribosomal RNA". The stretch from base 1 to 121 matches the Rfam family "5.8S ribosomal RNA", at positions 35 to 154 of the family's 154-position model. The record is from RNAcentral.
GAUGAAGAACGCAGCGAAAUGCGAUAAGUAAUGCGAAUUGCAGAAUUUCCGUGAGUCAUCGAAUCUUUGAACGCACAUUGCGCCCACUGGUAUUCCGGCGGGCAUGCCUGUUCGAGCGUCAUUAUCCUCCCUCAAACCCCGGGUUUGGUGUUGGACCCAAGUUGUGUGAACAACUGGUCUCAAAGACAAUGACGGCGUCCGUGGGACCCUCGGUGCAACGAGCUUUUAGGAGCACGCAUCGAGUUGCAAGGACCUUCCGGGCCGGUCUCCUUUACCAUUUUACAAGGUUGACCUCGGAUCAGGUAGGAAUACCCGCUGAACUUAAGCAUAUCAAUAAGCGGAGGA